This 484-nucleotide ribosomal RNA is filed under the name uncultured bacterium. RNAcentral describes it as "partial 16S ribosomal RNA". It matches the Rfam family "Bacterial small subunit ribosomal RNA", at positions 30 to 507 of the family's 1533-position model. The record is from RNAcentral.
AUUGAACGCUGGCGGCAGGCCUAACACAUGCAAGUCGAGCGGAAGAAGGGAGCUUGCUCCUGCAUUCCGGGGCGGACGGGGGCGUAAUGCCAAGGAAUCUGCAUGGUCGUGGGGGAUGGCGUCCGGAAACGGGAGCUAAUACCGCAACCGUACAGCGGGAGAAAGUGGGGGAUCUUGGGAUCUCACGCUAUCAGAUGAGCCUAGGUCGGAUUAGCUAGUGGGUGGGGUAACGGCCUACCAAGGCGACGAUCCGUAACUGGUCUGAGAGGAUGAGCAGCCACACUGGAACUGAGACACGGUCCAGACUCCUACGGGAGGCAGCAGUGGGGAAUAUUGCACAAUGGGCGAAAGCCUGAUCCAGCCAUGCCGCGUGUAUGAAGAAGGCCUUCGGAUUGUAAAGUACUUUAAGCGGGGAGGAAGGGAAGUAAGUUAAUACCUUGCCUUAUUGACGUUACCAGCAGAAUAAGCACCGGCUAACUCCGUG